Molecule: long non-coding RNA, 642 nt
Filed under: Manacus vitellinus (golden-collared manakin)
Lineage: Eukaryota; Metazoa; Chordata; Aves; Passeriformes; Pipridae
Description: lncRNA (ENSMVIG00005015157.1)
Source: RNAcentral
CCAGUUUAACAACUCUGUUCACUGUUCCUAUUGCACAGUGGGCUCUUUGACGCAACAGAAAGAGCUGCUUUUUUUUCUUUUUUUUUUUUUUCCUUCUUUUUUUUUUUUUUUUUUUUUUGCUUCCUCUUAAAUCCGCCUGGCCAAUUUAAAGCUUGUGGAUAUUUCUUCCCCCUCGGGGACAGCUUAUGUGAGGAUUUUCUUUUUUAACAGUUCAUUCUGUUAAACCAUUUUUUUUUCUUGUUUGCUGUUAGAAAAUGUUGGAGCUGAACACAAGGCUUUCAUUGCAGACUGCUAUCAAGGGAACUAAGAAAGGAUGUAGGCAUAUUGUUAAUGUCUCUCUUCAAGCUGUAUUUGAGGAGGCCAGCUUUUAUAGUGCAUCCAUAGGAAGCGUCUCCACUACAGCCUUUCACCACACAGGAGACAGACUGAGGAUGUAGGCAGCUGACAAAUGUGAAAGCAAUGAAGAGGUGUUCCGAGGUUGACAGCGCUUUUCAUAGUACACGCAUUUUCUGGGAAGGGCAUAAGAAGGGAGAUAAACAAGGGACGAUUUUGGCAAGCUGAGAAGAAGCUGUGGCAGAUAAAGAUGUUCCAAAGACAAGAUCACAUCAAAAAGGUAAGAGCACCAACUUCAGCCUGUCCUUU